RNAcentral lists this ribosomal RNA (493 nucleotides) under uncultured bacterium. RNAcentral describes it as "partial 16S ribosomal RNA". It matches the Rfam family "Bacterial small subunit ribosomal RNA", at positions 29 to 507 of the family's 1533-position model. The record is from RNAcentral.
ACGAACGCUGGCGGCGUGCUUAACACAUGCAAGUCGAACGGUGAAGCGCCUUCCUUUUUGGUGGGUGUGGAUGAGUGGCGAACGGGUGAGUAACACGUGAGUAACCUGCCCCCUUCUUCUGGAUAACCGCAUGAAAGUGUGGCUAAUACGGGAUAUUCUGGGUCUGUCGCAUGAUGGGUCUGGGAAAGAUAUUGUUUCGGUGGGGGAUGGGCUCGCGGCCUAUCAGCUUGUUGGUGGGGUGAUGGCCUACCAAGGCGGUGACGGGUAGCCGGCCUGAGAGGGUGGACGGUCACACUGGGACUGAGACACGGCCCAGACUCCUACGGGAGGCAGCAGUGGGGAAUAUUGCACAAUGGGCGCAAGCCUGAUGCAGCGACGCCGCGUGAGGGAUGGAGGCCUUCGGGUUGUGAACCUCUUUCGCCAGUGAAGCAGGCCUGCCUCGUUUGUGGGUGGGUUGACGGCAGCUGGAUAAGAAGCGCCGGCUAACUACGUG